RNAcentral lists this transfer RNA (127 nucleotides) under Longimicrobium terrae. RNAcentral's name for it is "tRNA-OTHER". It matches the Rfam family "tRNA". Rfam says of the family: Transfer RNA (tRNA) molecules are approximately 80 nucleotides in length. Lineage: Bacteria; Pseudomonadati; Gemmatimonadota; Longimicrobiia; Longimicrobiales; Longimicrobiaceae. The record is from RNAcentral.
CGCCCCGUAGCUCAGUCCGGUAGAGCAUCGCGGAUUCCUCGCCGUUCCCUUGUCCGCUCACAAGGCGGGCCGAUGCGUGAGGAUUAACGGGACGCGAGGGUCGCGGGUUCAAAUCCCGCCGGGGCAC